Molecule: long non-coding RNA, 391 nt
Organism: Falco peregrinus (peregrine falcon)
Lineage: Eukaryota; Metazoa; Chordata; Aves; Falconiformes; Falconidae
Exons: 3
Source: RefSeq, a predicted model, not a curated record
UUUGCCUUGCAGGAAGUGUGACUCCUACUGAUUCUGCUGCUUAUCUCAUGUGGGAGGAAGAAAAUGUCUUUAUCCAGCAGUGAGGUGGGUCCCUGGAAUCCCUGGAUUUCCACAAUUUGCAAUGAUCCUCCUUGGUAGAGACCAUGCUUUCAAGCACAAUCCGUGCAACACUGUCAGUGCUGAAACUGUCUGCGUAAAAGCACACAAGCAGUAGUGUCCCUCCCCCACAUAUGGACAGAGGAGACCUGGGUGGAAAGAAUCAGUCAUGAAGCUAAGGAGAGCCACAGGCAUGACAGAAAGCCUCUGAAACAGGAUGGAGUGGCAGAAAGGCUGCAUUUUCUCAAGGGAUCUGUGCAUUGCAUGAAAUGAGAUGAUCCUGCCACCUUUUCUG